UACAUUAGUCAAGGUAAACUAAUUCAACUAAUUGCUCUACCAUAAUUCUUUAACUCUUCUUUCUCUUGCUCAGCUUGAUAGCAUGUGGUUUGGCCUGGGUUGUUUCUUAUUCUGUGUAGGGUUGGCUUGUUUCGAGUGUACUCCCUUCUCCCAAUUGCUUCGGCCUUCUUUCCACAGUUCUAGUUUUGUUGUCACCCAUGGCCAUUGUCUACCUUGUUCUGCUCAGUGGCG
This 231-nucleotide unclassified non-coding RNA is filed under the name Hevea brasiliensis (rubber tree). Lineage: Eukaryota; Viridiplantae; Streptophyta; Magnoliopsida; Malpighiales; Euphorbiaceae. The record is from RNAcentral.